RNAcentral lists this small RNA (6957 nucleotides) under Pongo abelii (Sumatran orangutan). RNAcentral's name for it is "retained intron". The record is from RNAcentral. Lineage: Eukaryota; Metazoa; Chordata; Mammalia; Primates; Hominidae.
AAGAGGAUGGAGCUAGUAUGUAUUGAGCACCUACUGUCUGCCAGGCACCACGCGGGGUACCUUACAUAUGAGAUCUCACUUCACCUCAACAAUGAUUCUGUGACUGUGGAAUUGUUUCCAUGUAACAGACGUGGGACUGAAGCUCAGGAAUAUUAAGUCAGUCGUUUUGAUUCAGUCACACUCUAGAACCCACUCUCUUUGGUAUUCUGUAGUUUGCAAAGAUAACACAAAACUUCUUGCUCUAAAAUACUGGGCUUUAGAAAAGAAGAGAGCCCCAGGGAGCCCUGGUGGCCUGAGAGGCAGGGAAGAGUCAGUGAGUGGAGGAAGAGCGUGAGUGAAUUUUUCCGAGGGCAUGAGAGGCAGUUGUGUGUCCCUGGGGUUGUCUUGCAUGGGACCCCCAAUGCCUGCAUGAAGACAGGGAGAUGGCAUUAGAAGACUUGGCUUCCCUCAAAUCGGAGCAGCUGCUCCAGCUCGCCAUAGAAGUGGGCAAGAAGGAGAGAACACGAAGGAGGAAAGAGACACGGGUUCUCAUUAGACAAGUGGGUCAGAUUCUUCCUCUUUUUUGGUCUGCACCAAUGUCUUUCCUUGCAGUCUUCAUUAACCUGUGACUCUGACGACCCUGUGGGUGACACUUAUUUUUGUGCUUAGGAAAUAUCUGUGGUGGUCAGCAGGGUGAGCCCCCAUUCACAGCAAGGAAAAAUGGAGUCAUGUUCUUCUGCUCUGGGAUUUUCGUCAGUAACAGUGGAACAGCCCAUACGAACCUACUUAACAGAUUUUUUCUCCCUUAAUAAAAAGAUGAUUCUAUUUUCUAGAGAUGCUCCUCUAGAAUUGCUCCCAGUAAACUUAAAAAAAAAAGUAGUGAAAAAUUUAUUGGGUCACAUUUACUGUCUGGUUCUUACUGGGUGGUGGUUGGCCUCAGGAACCAGGCUCCUUCGUGAGUAACCAAACUGAGAAUCAACCCAUUCUUUGGGUGUGUAAAAUAAGCCCAUUUAGUUGAAUCUCAUGAAUUUUCAUCAUGAACUAGUAAAACCAGAGGUCACUAGGAAACCAAAAUAAUCAUACAGUAUCCUUCCUCAUGGUCCAUAUCAAAAAGCCUAGUCAAGUGAAUGAUGAAGAGAGAAAUUAUACUUUCUAAUCCCCAGUGCUUUUACUCAGCCAUGAAUGGUAUUAAUUCAGGGAGCUUGUAAAAAGCAUUUUCACGAGAGAGAUUGGAAGCAAGACUAAGUAGGUGCAUGCUGGCAGCAUAAAGAGAGUCUAAUCUAAUUAUUGUGGAAUCUUAGAGAUAAUCUAAGGGCUGCCUAGUUGCAUACAACACAUUUUAUUGACUCUUUUCCAUGUGUAAGGCACACGGACUGUGUGUAAGGUACAUGCCUAUUUUCUAUGGGCAAAAACCAGAGUCACCCAGAGGGCUCGUUAAAACACAAAUGGCGGAGUCCCAUCCCCAGAGUUUCUGACUCCGAGUUUCUGGGGUGGGCCUGAGAAUUGGCAUUUCUAGCAAGUUCCCAGGAGCUGCUGAUGCUGCUGGUUCAAGAUCACACUGUGAGAACUGCUCUACACCCUCGUGGGGGGGAUUAUUCCAGGGUUCACUUGAGCCCUUCUAAUGCGAUGGGUUGUGAAAGCGGCCGAUCCCAACAGAACAGCUUUCUUAGGGUUCACCGACACUGCGCUGAAAAGUGCCUCCCGGAAGCUCUCUCCCUGGUCCUAAUUCUGCCGGCUGGAAUUGCUCUGGACACACCUAAUCCUCAUUUAAUAAAUGCUCAUGCGCAUUCAUCCUAAGGAGAAGGACAGAGAGGGGUCUGUUUGGCAAAUAACGUUGUUAUGUUCCAUGCUGGGGAAUGCCUGUUUAAUCUACUUUGCUAACAAUAAAUUUAAAUGUUAGUAACUGGGGUGUACAUACACCAUAAAGGGUACAAAUGUCAUGUGUACAGCUUGAUAAAAUUUUACAUAGAUAUACACUCAUACAACUGCCUUCCACCUCAAGACAUGGAAUAUUUUCACCCUUCCUCAAAAUUACCAUGUGCUCUUUCCUGGUCCGUAGCAGGCCCUCAAAAGUCAGCACUGUUCUACUCCAGUUGCCAUGGAUAUUUCAUGCUCCUCUUGAACUUUAUGUAGAUGGAAGCAGAGAGAACAUGCCCUUUUGUAUCUGAUAUUUUCACUCAAGAAGACUGUGAGGUUCAACCAUGUUCUAAAUAGCAAUAUUAGUUCUUUUGUUUUUAUUGCCUUGUGGUAUCCCAAGUUUGACUUGUGUUUAUAGUUGUAUAUUUAAUUGCUCCUUCUAUUUUUUUUUGCGGGGGUAGGGGGUGGUGGGAUGGAAUUUUGCUCUUGUUGCCCAGGCUGGAGUGCAAUGGCGCGAUCUCAGCUCACUGCAACCUCCGCCUCUCUGGUUCAAGUGAUAUUCUCCUGCCUCAGCCUCCUGAGUAGCUGGGAUUACAGCCACCACACCCACCUAAUUUUUUGUAUUUUUAGUAGAGACGAGGUUUCUCUUUGUUGGCCAGGCUGAUCUCAAACUCCUGACCUCAGGUGAUCCACCCGCCUCAGGUGAUCCACCCGCCUCAGCCUCCCAAAGUGCUGGCAUUAUAGGCGUGAGCCACCAGGCCUGGCCCCUCCUUCUAUUUUAUAUAGUUAAGGUUGGAAAUUGAUAUGGUUUGGCUCUGUGUCCCCACCAAAAUAGCAUUUCGAAUUGUAAUCCCCAUGUAUCAGAGGAGUAGCCUGGUGGGAGGUAAUUGGACCAUGGAGGUGAAUUUCCCCCUUGCUGUUCUCGUGAUAGUGAGUGAGUUCUCAACGAGAUCUCAUGGUUUAAAAGUCUGGCGCUUCCGGGUUGUCUCUCCCUUCUGCCACCAUAUAGACGUGCUCGCUUCACGUUUGCCUUCUGCGGUGAUUUUAAGUUUCCCGAGGCUUCCCCAGCCAUGCAGAACUGUGAGUCAAUUAAACCUCUUUUCUGUAUAAACUACCCAGUCUCAGGUACUUCUUUAUAGCAGUGUGAAAAUGGACUAACACAGUAAUGAUGUAAGCUAGCAUGACUGCUGACUGUGAACUGGAAUGGUGCUAAGUACAUGACAUCACUUGAUCUUUUCAAUACAGUGAGAUUGGUACUGUCAUUAAUCCAUUUUACAGAUGAGAUAACCAAGGCUGAGUAACUUGCUCAAAGUCUCACAGCUGAUAAGAAGUGAAACCAAUAUUUGAAUGCCGGUGUCUGACCAUGAUCCUGCGUUCUUAGCUGAUAUAUUAUGAUGCCUGUCACUCUGGGUGCUUUAACAAUGACCACCAAUGAGAGAUUGACCCUGGACAGCAUGCAGUUUCCUUUGAUUUCAAGGACUUUUCCUUUUUCAGCACCCAUUUCUUUCUCCUGUCUAAUGGGUCUAAGGCAUCUUCAACCAUGCUGGUAGUGACCUGGGCUGUGCCACCUGUCCAUGCACUGUCUGGAUUUUCCCAACUCCUUCAGAUGAGCAGAUCUGUGGACUCAUGUUCUCUCUUAUGUAACUGUCUCCCUACAAAAAUAACCUUUUCUCUUUGCUGGCUCUCUGAUCACUUCCAAAAUCCCUGUCCUUGAUAAUUGCAAAUAAUAGAAGAAUCUGUUCUACCUUGUGGUUCCUGUUAAGGUUACACCUAAAUUGUCUCUGAAAAAUAAUUGUCUGUUUUGUUAAAGGAAAUGUUUAAACUUCCUUUGACUUGUGUGUCUAAUAAACCCUCAGCAGAAGGAAGUUUAUUUUUAAAUACAAAUUACUGUGGCCACUUAACAUCUCAUUUCCUUUUUCAUUCUGCUAAUUGGAGAUGGGAAAUGGCUGGUCAGCCUAUUUCAUGCUAUCAACUUGAGUGCAUUUAAAAAGAUAAUCAGAGGCUUUGCAGCAGUUUUAAGUCUGGCUUUGAUUCAAUAUCUGGAUAAAAAGCCUCCACAUGCCCUUAUGAUUAAGAAUUUUCGUUUAUGUUUUCAUGUUCUCCAGGGUGCAUGCAGACCUCAUCCCCUGGGCUUUUAUUGCUAAGUACAUAGAUAUGGUGUUGUUUGGGUUUAUAAACGUGAGUAGUUUGCUAAAUAAUUCUCUGUGUUCUAACAGGAAAUGAAGGUCAGGAGUGAAAGAUGGGAUGCUCUUUGCUUAAUCUGUCAUCACACUAGGUUUUCAUAAAUUACAUAAUAUCCAUUUAUCUAUUUAUCUUUCUGUAAUUCUAAUUUAUAUCCUAAAUUUCAUAUUAAAAAGCUUUGAGAAUUUUUUUUUUUUUUGAGCCAUAAGCCGGGCAUGGUGGCUCACGCCUGUACUCCUAGAACUUUGGGAGUCCGAGGCAGGAGGAUGGCUUGAGCCUAGGAGUUCAAGACCAGUCUGAGCAACAUAGCAAGAUGCUGUGUCUACAAAAAGCAACAACAAAAAAUUAUCCAGGUAUGCUGGUGUGUGCCUGUAGUCCCAGCUACUUGGGAGGCUGAGGUGAGAGAAUCACUUGAGUCUAAAAGUGAGCUGUGAUUGCACCAUUGCACUCUGGGUGACAGAUUGAGAUGCUGUCUCAAAAAAAAAAAAAAAAUACAGAAAAAGAGAAAUCCCAUAGGACAAAUGACCAGCGAUUUAUCAUAUAUAUGUAGCAUCACACAAGAGGUGAAGGCAGACACUGGAGAUUAAAAGAAGCAAGAAAUAAAAAUGGAAUGUGAUUGGGGACUCUUCUAAUCUUGAUUCAAGCAAAUCAACCAUACCAAGACCCUUUCUUUAGAGAAUCAGAUAAAUUUAAAUACAAACUGAGAAUUAGAUAACGAUAGGGCAUUGAGCAUUAAUUUUGUUACUUGUGAUAAUGGUUUUGUGGUUAUGUUAGUAAAAGAGUUCUUACAGGUAAAGACAUACUGGAGUAUUUGUGGAUGAAAUAUGGUGUCUGGAAUUUGUUUUAAAAUACUCUAGGAAAAAAUGGGGAAUAGAUAAAAACAUACAAAAGAUUGGUAACAUGCUGAUGAUUGUUAAAGUUGGGUAAUAGGUACAGGGGUUCAUUUUACUAUUCUCUCUACUUUUGUGUGUUUUAAAAAUGUUCAUAAGAAAAGGUUCAAAAAGAGGCAUAAGAGGGAAAUAUAUGAUGACAUAACUCUCGCAUUGUGAUAUAUGAGUACAGUCUUAGAAGUUCCUGUGAAAUACAAGCCUGUAAUAAAAUGAAAUCUAAAACUCUGUGUCUGCCAAACGGUUUUUAUUUCUUUUUGGAAAAAUAUAUAUUAAGUUAUUAAUUAUGUUUCUAUCUUGUUUGCAGAUGAUUCUGGGCCUCCCCCAUCUACUGUCAUCAAUCAAAAUGAAACAUUUGCCAACAUCAUUUUUAAACCUACUGUAGUACAACAAGCCAGGAUUGCCCAGAAUGGAAUUUUGGGAGACUUUAUCAUUAGAUAUGAUGUCAAUAGAGAACAGAGCAUUGGGGACAUCCAGGUUCUAAAUGGCUAUUUUGUGCACUACUUUGCUCCUAAAGACCUUCCUCCUUUACCCAAGAAUGUGGUAUUCGUGCUUGACAGCAGUGCUUCUAUGGUGGGAACCAAACUCCGGCAGACCAAGGAUGCCCUCUUCACGAUUCUCCAUGACCUCCGACCCCAGGACCAUUUCAGUAUCAUUGGGUUUUCCAACCGGAUCAAAGUAUGGAAGGACCACUUGAUAUCAGUCACUCCAGACAGCAUCAGGGAUGGCAAAGUGUACAUUCACCAUAUGUCGCCCACUGGAGGCACAGACAUCAACGGGGCCUUGCAGAGGGCCAUCAGGCUCCUCAACAAGUACGUGGCCCACAGUGGCAUUGGAGACCGGAGCGUGUCCCUCAUUGUCUUCCUGACGGAUGGGAAGCCCACGGUCGGGGAGACGCACACCCUCAAGAUCCUCAACAACACCCGAGAGGCCGCCCGAGGCCAAGUCUGCAUCUUCACCAUUGGCAUCGGCAACGACGUGGACUUCAGGCUGCUGGAGAAACUGUCGCUGGAGAACUGCGGCCUCACACGGCGCGUGCACGAGGAGGAGGACGCAGGCUCGCAGCUCAUCGGGUUCUACGAUGAAAUCAGAACCCCGCUCCUCUCUGACAUCCGCAUCGAUUAUCCCCCCAGCUCAGUGGUGCAGGCCACCAAGACCCUGUUCCCCAACUACUUCAACGGCUCGGAGAUCAUCAUCGCGGGGAAGCUGGUGGACAGGAAGCUGGAUCACCUGCAUGUGGAGGUCACCGCCAGCAACAGUAAGAAAUUCGUCAUCCUGAAGACGGAUGUGCCUGUGGGGCCUCAGAAGGCAGGGAAAGAUGUCACAGGAAGCCCCAGGCCUGGAGGCGAUGGAGAGAGGGACCCCAACCACAUCGAGCGUCUCUGGAGCUACCUCACCACAAAGGAGCUACUGAGCUCCUGGCUGCAAAGUGACGAUGAGCCGGAGAAGGAGCGGCUGCGGCAGCGGGCCCAGGCCCUGGCCGUGAGCUACCGCUUCCUCACUCCCUUCACCUCCAUGAAGCUGAGGGGGCCAGUCCCGCGCACAGACGGCCUGGAGGAGGCCCACGGCAUGUCGGCUGCCAUGGGACCCGAACCGGUGGUACAGAGUGUGCGAGGAGCUGGCACGCAGCCAGGACCUUUGCUCAAGAAGCCAUACCAGCCAAGAAUUAAAAUCUCUAAAACAUCAGGUAAAGGAAAGGAUGCGGUUGUGUGUGGAUUGAGAGUAUAAGAGAUGUUUAAAAAGUGUAAAACCAGGCCAGGUGUGGUGGCUCACGCCUGUAAUCCCAGCACUUUGGGAGGCCGAGGUGGGUGUAUUGCUUGAGGUCAGGAGUUCAAGACCAGCCUGGCCAACGUGGUGAAACCUCGUCUCUACUAAAAAUACAAAAGUUAGGCACGCAUGGUGGCGGGGGCCUGUAGUCCCAGCUACUGGGGAGGCCGAGACAGGAGAAUCGCUUGAACCUGGGAAGUUGAGGUUACAGUGAGCCAAGAUUGCGCCAUCGCACUCCAGCCUGGACUAUAAGAGUGAAAUUGCCUCAAAAAAAAAAAAAAAAAAA